Dreissena polymorpha is the source of this 402-nucleotide long non-coding RNA. RefSeq lists it as uncharacterized. The transcript has 3 exons. Lineage: Eukaryota; Metazoa; Mollusca; Bivalvia; Myida; Dreissenidae. The record is from RefSeq and is a predicted model, not a curated record.
UUGAAUAAACACGGUGCCUAUACCACGUGACUUUUUAAGAUCUGUGUGGGGAGUAAAAUAUCAACAAAAGCGCGACGAAGGUAUGGCUCAAUGCUCCGAAUGCGGAAAAAUGUCGAAGACCAGAGCUGGAUUAUUGCGCCACAUUAGGGGACACGCUAACUCUGGAAACUAUAACUGCUGUGGGAAAGCAUUUCAGGAUGCCUACAAUCUUAGAAGGCUUCAACGAACAAAGGACCCCAAUGUCACGUGUGUGUACAGUGCGGCAGGAGCUUUGCGCACAAGUACCUACUCGUGGCUAGAGAGAAAAGUGCAAAAAAGAGGGAUUGGUGAAAUGUUACAAGUGUGUGUUGGCAGUUAGGAGUGAGAAUGACCUCAGAGAGCACGUCAAUACCCACAUGCAUG